GUGGGGAAUAUUGCGCAAUGGGCGAAAGCCUGACGCAGCCACGCCGCGUGGGUGAUGAAGGCCUUCGGGUUGUAAAGCCCUGUCGUGAGGGAAGAACACAAUGACGGUACCUCACAAGAAAGCACCGGCCAACUCCGUGCCAGCAGCCGCGGUAAUACGGAGGGUGCGAGCGUUGCUCGGAAUCACUGGGCGUAAAGCGUACGCAGGCGGAUCGUUAAGUCGGGUGUGAAAGCCCGGGGCUCAACCCCGGAACUGCAUUCGAAACUGGCGGUCUUGAGUACGGGAGAGGGAGGUGGAAUUCCUGGUGUAGAGGUGAAAUUCGUAGAUAUCAGGAGGAACACCGGUGGCGAAAGCGGCCUCCUGGCCCGAUACUGACGCUCAUGUACGAGAGCGUGGGGAGCAAACAGGAUUAGAUACCCCAGUAGUCC
RNAcentral lists this ribosomal RNA (428 nucleotides) under uncultured bacterium. RNAcentral's name for it is "bacterial SSU rRNA". It matches the Rfam family "Bacterial small subunit ribosomal RNA", at positions 354 to 796 of the family's 1533-position model. The record is from RNAcentral.